GCGAAGGUGGCGGAAUUGGUAGACGCGCUAGCUUCAGGUGUUAGUGUCCUCUGGACGUGGGGGUUCAAGUCCCCCCCCUCGCA
Molecule: transfer RNA, 83 nt
Filed under: Cronobacter dublinensis 1210
Lineage: Bacteria; Pseudomonadati; Pseudomonadota; Gammaproteobacteria; Enterobacterales; Enterobacteriaceae
Description: tRNA-Leu-CAG
Rfam family: tRNA
About the family: Transfer RNA (tRNA) molecules are approximately 80 nucleotides in length. Their secondary structure includes four short double-helical elements and three loops (D, anti-codon, and T loops). Further hydrogen bonds mediate the characteristic L-shaped molecular structure. tRNAs have two regions of fundamental functional importance: the anti-codon, which is responsible for specific mRNA codon recognition, and the 3' end, to which the tRNAs corresponding amino acid is attached (by aminoacyl-tRNA synthetases). tRNAs cope with the degeneracy of the genetic code in two manners: having more than one tRNA (with a specific anti-codon) for a particular amino acid; and 'wobble' base-pairing, i.e. permitting non-standard base-pairing at the 3rd anti-codon position.
Source: RNAcentral